RNAcentral lists this ribosomal RNA (2004 nucleotides) under Staphylococcus aureus. RNAcentral's name for it is "partial 23S ribosomal RNA". It matches the Rfam family "Bacterial large subunit ribosomal RNA", at positions 1 to 2002 of the family's 2925-position model. The record is from RNAcentral. Lineage: Bacteria; Bacillati; Bacillota; Bacilli; Caryophanales; Staphylococcaceae.
AGAUUAAGUUAUUAAGGGCGCACGGUGGAUGCCUUGGCACUAGAAGCCGAUGAAGGACGUUACUAACGACGAUAUGCUUUGGGGAGCUGUAAGUAAGCUUUGAUCCAGAGAUUUCCGAAUGGGGAAACCCAGCAUGAGUUAUGUCAUGUUAUCGAUAUGUGAAUACAUAGCAUAUCAGAAGGCACACCCGGAGAACUGAAACAUCUUAGUACCCGGAGGAAGAGAAAGAAAAUUCGAUUCCCUUAGUAGCGGCGAGCGAAACGGGAAGAGCCCAAACCAACAAGCUUGCUUGUUGGGGUUGUAGGACACUCUAUACGGAGUUACAAAGGACGACAUUAGACGAAUCAUCUGGAAAGAUGAAUCAAAGAAGGUAAUAAUCCUGUAGUCGAAAAUGUUGUCUCUCUUGAGUGGAUCCUGAGUACGACGGAGCACGUGAAAUUCCGUCGGAAUCUGGGAGGACCAUCUCCUAAGGCUAAAUACUCUCUAGUGACCGAUAGUGAACCAGUACCGUGAGGGAAAGGUGAAAAGCACCCCGGAAGGGGAGUGAAAUAGAACCUGAAACCGUGUGCUUACAAGUAGUCAGAGCCCGUUAAUGGGUGAUGGCGUGCCUUUUGUAGAAUGAACCGGCGAGUUACGAUUUGAUGCAAGGUUAAGCAGUAAAUGUGGAGCCGUAGCGAAAGCGAGUCUGAAUAGGGCGUUUAGUAUUUGGUCGUAGACCCGAAACCAGGUGAUCUACCCUUGGUCAGGUUGAAGUUCAGGUAACACUGAAUGGAGGACCGAACCGACUUACGUUGAAAAGUGAGCGGAUGAACUGAGGGUAGCGGAGAAAUUCCAAUCGAACCUGGAGAUAGCUGGUUCUCUCCGAAAUAGCUUUAGGGCUAGCCUCAAGUGAUGAUUAUUGGAGGUAGAGCACUGUUUGGACGAGGGGCCCCUCUCGGGUUACCGAAUUCAGACAAACUCCGAAUGCCAAUUAAUUUAACUUGGGAGUCAGAACAUGGGUGAUAAGGUCCGUGUUCGAAAGGGAAACAGCCCAGACCACCAGCUAAGGUCCCAAAAUAUAUGUUAAGUGGAAAAGGAUGUGGCGUUGCCCAGACAACUAGGAUGUUGGCUUAGAAGCAGCCAUCAUUUAAAGAGUGCGUAAUAGCUCACUAGUCGAGUGACACUGCGCCGAAAAUGUACCGGGGCUAAACAUAUUACCGAAGCUGUGGAUUGUCCUUUGGACAAUGGUAGGAGAGCGUUCUAAGGGCGUUGAAGCAUGAUCGUAAGGACAUGUGGAGCGCUUAGAAGUGAGAAUGCCGGUGUGAGUAGCGAAAGACGGGUGAGAAUCCCGUCCACCGAUUGACUAAGGUUUCCAGAGGAAGGCUCGUCCGCUCUGGGUUAGUCGGGUCCUAAGCUGAGGCCGACAGGCGUAGGCGAUGGAUAACAGGUUGAUAUUCCUGUACCACCUAUAAUCGUUUUAAUCGAUGGGGGGACGCAGUAGGAUAGGCGAAGCGUGCGAUUGGAUUGCACGUCUAAGCAGUAAGGCUGAGUAUUAGGCAAAUCCGGUACUCGUUAAGGCUGAGCUGUGAUGGGGAGAAGACAUUGUGUCUUCGAGUCGUUGAUUUCACACUGCCGAGAAAAGCCUCUAGAUAGAAAAUAGGUGCCCGUACCGCAAACCGACACAGGUAGUCAAGAUGAGAAUUCUAAGGUGAGCGAGCGAACUCUCGUUAAGGAACUCGGCAAAAUGACCCCGUAACUUCGGGAGAAGGGGUGCUCUUUAGGGUUAACGCCCAGAAGAGCCGCAGUGAAUAGGCCCAAGCGACUGUUUAUCAAAAACACAGGUCUCUGCUAAACCGUAAGGUGAUGUAUAGGGGCUGACGCCUGCCCGGUGCUGGAAGGUUAAGAGGAGUGGUUAGCUUCUGCGAAGCUACGAAUCGAAGCCCCAGUAAACGGCGGCCGUAACUAUAACGGUCCUAAGGUAGCGAAAUUCCUUGUCGGGUAAGUUCCGACCCGCACGAAAGGCGU